GACGAACGCUGGCGGCGUGCUUAACACAUGCAAGUCGAACGGUAAGGCCCUUCGGGGUACACGAGUGGCGAACGGGUGAGUAACACGUGGGUGAUCUGCCCUGCACUUCGGGAUAAGCCCGGGAAACUGGGUCUAAUACCGGAUAGGACCACUGCCUGCAGGGGUGGUGGCGGAAAGCUUUUGCGGUGUGGGGUGGGCCCGCGGCCUAUCAGCUUGUUGGUGGGUUGAUGGCCUACCAAGGCGACGACGGGUAGCCGGCCUGAGAGGGUGACCGGCCACACUGGGACUGAGAUACGGCCCAGACUCCUACGGGAGGCAGCAGUGGGGAAUAUUGCACAAUGGGCGCAAGCCUGAUGCAGCGACGCCGCGUGAGGGAUGACGGCCUUCGGGUUGUAAACCUCUUUCAGCACCGACGAAGCGCAAGUGACGGUAGGUGCAGAAGAAGGACCGGCCAACUACGUGCCAGCCGCCGCCGUAA
This 478-nucleotide ribosomal RNA is filed under the name uncultured bacterium. RNAcentral describes it as "partial 16S ribosomal RNA". It matches the Rfam family "Bacterial small subunit ribosomal RNA", at positions 28 to 523 of the family's 1533-position model. The record is from RNAcentral.